RNAcentral lists this ribosomal RNA (477 nucleotides) under uncultured anaerobic ammonium-oxidizing bacterium. Its description in RNAcentral is "bacterial SSU rRNA". It matches the Rfam family "Bacterial small subunit ribosomal RNA", at positions 365 to 832 of the family's 1533-position model. The record is from RNAcentral.
UUCGCAAUGCCCGAAAGGGUGACGAAGCGACGCCGCGUGCGGGAAGAAGGCCUUCGGGUUGUAAACCGCUGUCGGGAGUUAAGAAAUGCAGAGAUGUUAAUAGCGUCUUUGCUUGACUAAGGCUCCGGAGGAAGCCACGGCUAACUCUGUGCCAGCAGCCGCGGUAAUACAGAGGCGGCAAGCGUUGUUCGGAAUUAUUGGGCGUAAAGAGCACGUAGGCGGCUCUGCAAGUCAGCUGUGAAAGCCUUCUGCUUAACGGAAGAACGGCAGUUGAAACUACAGGGCUUGAGUGCGGGAGGGGAGAGUGGAACUUCUGGUGGAGCGGUGAAAUGCGUAGAUAUCAGAAGGAACGCCGGCGGCGAAAGCGGCUCUUUGGUCCGUAACUGACGCUGAGUGUGCGAAAGCUAGGGGAGCAAACGGGAUUAGAUACCCCGGUAGUCCUAGCCGUAAACGAUGGGCACUAAGUAGAGGGGUUUU